UAUUUGUAGAGUAACUGGUUGUAAUCUUCUAAACUCUGUGAACUGCACUUCUCUAUGGCCUUAUACUGGGUGUUUUGCUCAUUCAGUUGACCAGUGUGGUUUUGAGGAGGAACUGCCUCAAAAGAGGAAUUUUCUUUUACUGGUGGAAGGCUGCUUGCAUCCCCCAUUUCUGUAGUGGUAUCUGGUGCAAGUUUGCUGUUAUCACCUCCCUCCCCUUUGCUUUUCAGCUCAUUGCUUCCGUCAUCAGGAGCUGUCACAUUCUCCUCUUUGCUGCUAACUUUAGCUUCUAAACUAUGCAUAAUCUUGUACUUGGAUACGGCAUCGUUGAACGCAUUAACAAGGGCUGAAUCGUCCCACAAAUCGUUUUCCCCCAUUUUCGCUUUCUACUCUGCUGAGUUGCAAAGAGAAUUGCAGCAGGGUUUAAGCUGCG
RNAcentral lists this unclassified non-coding RNA (430 nucleotides) under Hevea brasiliensis (rubber tree). The record is from RNAcentral. Lineage: Eukaryota; Viridiplantae; Streptophyta; Magnoliopsida; Malpighiales; Euphorbiaceae.